AGCUCGACGGGGUCCACCGCGCGGGUCACGACCAGGUAGUCGCGCAUCACGAUGCCGUGGCGGUUCUC
Small RNA from Rhodococcus triatomae, 68 nucleotides. It matches the Rfam family "ASdes TB sRNA". The record is from Rfam. Lineage: Bacteria; Bacillati; Actinomycetota; Actinomycetes; Mycobacteriales; Nocardiaceae.